CUCGUGGCUAGUUCAGGCGGAAGGAGCAGUCCUCUGAAGCUUGAGGAGCCUCUAGAACUAUGAGCCCGAGGCCUUCCCCUUUCCCAGAGCGCAGAGGCUUUGAAGGCUACCUCUGGGAAGCCGCUCACCGUCGGAAGCUGCGGGAGCUGAAACUGCGCCAUCGUCACUGUCGGCGGCCAUGAUACCUCUCGUCUCCCGCCUGAGUCGUCAGCGGGCCAUCAUGAGGAAGCCACGAGCAGCCGUGGGAAGUGGUCACAGGAAGCAGGCAGCCAGCCAGGAAGGGAGGCAGAAGCGUGCUAAGAACAACAGUCAGGCCAAGCCUUCUGCCUGUGAUGGUCUGGCCAGGCAGCCGGAAGAGGUGGUAUUGCAGGCUUCUGUCUCCUCAUACCAUGUAUUCAGAGACUUAGCUGAAGUCACAGCCUUCCGAGGGAGCCUGCUAAGCUGGUACGACCAAGAGAAACGGGACCUACCAUGGAGAAGACGGGCAGAAGAUGAGGUGGACCUGGACAGGCGGGCAUAUGCUGUGUGGGUCUCAGAGGUCAUGCUGCAGCAGACCCAGGUUGCCACUGUGAUCAACUACUAUACCGGAUGGAUGAAGGUGACUCCAGGGGAGGAAGGGAAGGGUCAUGGGUCAGACCCCAGAUGAGAGCCUGUACUUUGGGGUGGGUGUAGAGAAGGCUUCCUCUACCACCUUCGCCCUUGACCUUGUCUUUUUCUGCCUGCCUGUGGCUAUAGAAGUGGCCUACACUGCAGGACCUGGCCAGUGCUUCCCUGGAGGUGAGAGCCACCCUAGGGUAGGGGAAAUAGGAAUGAUAGAGGGACUGAAGGGUGAUCUCUUUGACCUCUGAUCCUACCCACAGGAGGUGAAUCAACUCUGGGCUGGCCUGGGCUACUAUUCUCGUGGCCGGCGGCUGCAGGAGGGAGCUCGGAAG
Molecule: small RNA, 932 nt
Filed under: Pongo abelii (Sumatran orangutan)
Lineage: Eukaryota; Metazoa; Chordata; Mammalia; Primates; Hominidae
Description: retained intron
Source: RNAcentral